UUACCGCGGCUGCUGGCACGGAGUUAGCCGGUGCUUUCUUGGGAGGUACCGUCAGAACUUCUUCCCUCCCGACAGGGCUUUACAAUCCGAAGACCUUCAUCACCCACGCGGCGUAGCUGCGUCAGGCUUUCGCCCAUUGCGCAAUAUUCCCCACUGCUGCCUCCCGUAGGAGUCUGGACCGUGUCUCAGUUCCAGUGUGGCUGAUCAUCCUCUCAGACCAGCUACCCAUCGUACCCUUGGUGGGCCGUUACCCCGCCAACUAGGAUUAAAUAAUGGGACGCAGGCCCAUCCCCUGGCGACCGAAGUCUUUGACCCGUGGGCCAUAUGCAGUAUUAGCCACAGUUUCCCGUGGUUAUCCUCCACCAGAGGGCAGGUAACCUACGUGUUACUCACCCGUUCGCCACUCCCGUCCGAAGACGAGCGUUCGACUUGCAUGUGUUAAGCUCGCCGCUAGCGUUCGCUCUGAGCCAUGAUCAAACUC
Molecule: ribosomal RNA, 481 nt
Filed under: uncultured delta proteobacterium
Lineage: Bacteria; Deltaproteobacteria
Description: partial 16S ribosomal RNA
Source: RNAcentral